RNAcentral lists this ribosomal RNA (850 nucleotides) under uncultured bacterium. Its description in RNAcentral is "bacterial SSU rRNA". It matches the Rfam family "Bacterial small subunit ribosomal RNA", at positions 652 to 1501 of the family's 1533-position model. The record is from RNAcentral.
UAGGGGUCACGGGAAUUCCCAGUGUAGCGGUGAAAUGCGUAGAUAUUGGGAAGAACACCAGCGGCGAAAGCGCGUGACUGGGCUGAACUGACACUCAUGGACGAAAGCUAGGGGAGCGAAAGGGAUUAGAUACCCCUGUAGUCCUAGCCGUAAACGAUGACAACUAGGUGUUGCCCGUAUCGACCCGGGCAGUGCCGUAGCCAACGCGUUAAGUUGUCCGCCUGGGGAGUACGCACGCAAGUGUGAAACUCAAAGGAAUUGACGGGGGCCCGCACAAGCGGUGGAGUAUGUGGUUUAAUUCGAUGCAACGCGAAGAACCUUACCAAGGCUUGACAUGUGCAGAAUCCUCUUGAAAGGGAGGAGUGCCUUCGGGAGCUGCAACACAGGUGGUGCAUGGCUGUCGUCAGCUCGUGUCGUGAGAUGUUGGGUUAAGUCCCGCAACGAGCGCAACCCUCGUUUCUAGUUGCCAUCAUUGAGUUGGGCACUUUAGAGAGACUGCCGGUGACAAACCGGAGGAAGGUGGGGAUGACGUCAAGUCAGCAUGCCCCUUACGCCUUGGGCUACACACGUACUACAAUGCUACGGACAAAGAGCCGCAAGUUCGCGAGGACAAGCAAAUCUCAUAAACCGUGGCUCAGUUCAGAUUGCAGGCUGCAACUCGCCUGCAUGAAGGCGGAAUCGCUAGUAAUCGCAGGUCAGCAUACUGCGGUGAAUACGUUCCCGGGCCUUGUACACACCGCCCGUCACACCAUGGGAGUUGGCCACGCCCGAAGUCGUUACUCCAACCGUUCGCGGAGGAGGAUGCCGAAGGCAGGGCUGAUGACUGGGGUGAAGUCGUAACAAGGUAACC